AAUAAGAAACAGCAGAGCAGGAGGUCCAGGCCAAUAACCCACACCUUCCAUAAGCAACAUAGUGAACAUCUACCACCAAGGGCAGACUUUUAGUCACGCUUAUCUGCUAUCCCCUACUAGGAAAUCAAGAGGAAAAAUGAGAAUAGAAGAGGGAAGCAGAGAGAAAAGAAUAUAUUAAACAGUUGGUAUAUAAAUUAAGAUUUCAUGUGGGAUUAAAAAACAUUCAGCAAAAAUUAUUUCUGAGCAAAGUCACGUAACAGGCCAGUAGUCUGCAGACUGAGUGCCAUGGCCCCCUGAGGUUUUAAGGUCCCUGAGGGUGGGCAGAGGAGACCUGGAGCUCC
Molecule: long non-coding RNA, 341 nt
Filed under: Bos taurus (domestic cattle)
Lineage: Eukaryota; Metazoa; Chordata; Mammalia; Artiodactyla; Bovidae
Description: long non-coding RNA NONBTAT016477
Source: RNAcentral